RNAcentral lists this unclassified non-coding RNA (298 nucleotides) under Cladophialophora sp. RNAcentral describes it as "partial contains 5.8S ribosomal RNA, internal transcribed spacer 2, and large subunit ribosomal RNA". The stretch from base 1 to 52 matches the Rfam family "5.8S ribosomal RNA", at positions 103 to 154 of the family's 154-position model. Lineage: Eukaryota; Fungi; Ascomycota; Eurotiomycetes; Chaetothyriales; Herpotrichiellaceae. RNAcentral also lists the same sequence under 1 other name. The record is from RNAcentral.
AACGCACCUUGCGCUCCUUGGUAUUCCGAGGAGCAUGCCUGUUUGAGUGUCGUGAAAUUCUCAACCCCUUAGAUUUUAUUAUUUAAUGGGGCUUGGACUUGGAGGUUGUGUCGGCUCUAGUCAGCUGACUCCUCUUAAAUGUAUUAGCGUGAAUCUUUUACGGAUCGCCUUCAGUGUGAUAAUUAUCUGCGCUGUGGUGUUGAAGUAUCUUUAUAGUUCAUGCUUCUAAUCGUCUCUCGCGAGACAAUUACUUUGACAAUCUGGCCUCAAAUCAGGUAGGACUACCCGCUGAACUUAA